This 102-nucleotide transfer RNA is filed under the name Nemania serpens. RNAcentral's name for it is "tRNA-Val". It matches the Rfam family "tRNA". Rfam says of the family: Transfer RNA (tRNA) molecules are approximately 80 nucleotides in length. Their secondary structure includes four short double-helical elements and three loops (D, anti-codon, and T loops). Further hydrogen bonds mediate the characteristic L-shaped molecular structure. tRNAs have two regions of fundamental functional importance: the anti-codon, which is responsible for specific mRNA codon recognition, and the 3' end, to which the tRNAs corresponding amino acid is attached (by aminoacyl-tRNA synthetases). tRNAs cope with the degeneracy of the genetic code in two manners: having more than one tRNA (with a specific anti-codon) for a particular amino acid; and 'wobble' base-pairing, i.e. permitting non-standard base-pairing at the 3rd anti-codon position. Lineage: Eukaryota; Fungi; Ascomycota; Sordariomycetes; Xylariales; Xylariaceae. The record is from RNAcentral.
GUUUUCGUGGCCUAGUGGUUAGGGCGUCUGUCUUACAAGAGUCUCGAGUAUCUUGACUUUGAUGAUCACAGAAGAUCGCCGGUUCAAUCCCGGCCGGAAACA